GUUUGCACUUGUCGGGGAAGGGUGAGAACCUUCGAUUAAGGUUCGACUCGAGCGAAAGCGAGAGAACGUUGCCAACGGCAACGGCCCGAAGGGCGAAGCGCGCAGCGCUGAGUAAUCCUUCCCCCACCACCA
This 132-nucleotide small RNA is filed under the name Salmonella enterica subsp. enterica serovar Give. RNAcentral describes it as "RtT sRNA". It matches the Rfam family "RtT RNA". Rfam says of the family: This family represents a bacterial cis-regulatory element known as RtT RNA. The exact function of RtT is unknown although it is thought that it may be involved in changing the cellular response in relation to amino acid starvation. The record is from RNAcentral. Lineage: Bacteria; Pseudomonadati; Pseudomonadota; Gammaproteobacteria; Enterobacterales; Enterobacteriaceae.